Molecule: ribosomal RNA, 513 nt
Filed under: uncultured Campylobacterota bacterium
Lineage: Bacteria; Pseudomonadati; Campylobacterota
Description: bacterial SSU rRNA
Rfam family: Bacterial small subunit ribosomal RNA
Source: RNAcentral
CUCACAAGAGGUAUCGGGAAAGUUUUUCGCUAUAGGAUGAGGCUGCGGCCUAUCAGCUAGUUGGGGAGGUAACGGCUCACCAAGGCUAUGACGGGUAGCUGGUCUGAGAGGAUGAUCAGCCACACUGGAACUGAGACACGGUCCAGACUCCUACGGGAGGCAGCAGUGGGGAAUUUUACACAAUGGGCGAAAGCCUGAUGUAGCAACGCCGCGUGGAGGAUGACGGAUUUAGGUCUGUAAACUCCUUUUAUAGGGGAAGAAAUUUGACGGUACCCUAUGAAUAAGCGCCGGCUAACCCCGUGCCAGCAGCCGCGGUAAUACGGGGGGCGCAAGCGUUACUCGGAAUCACUGGGCGUAAAGGGAGCGUAGGCGUUCUAUUAAGUCUCGAGUGAAAUCCCGCAGCCUAACUGCGGAACUGCUCGGGAAACUGAUAGAAUAGAGUAUGGAAGAGGUAGGUGGAAUUUCCAGUGUAGGGGUAAAAUCCGUAGAUAUUGGAAGGAAUACCAGAAGCGA